UACAGAGGUGGCAAGCGUUGUUCGGAAUUACUGGGCGUAAAGGGCGCGUAGGCGGUUCGUUAAGUCCUGUGUGAAAUCCCCCGGCUCAACUGGGGAACUGCACAGGAAACUAGCGGGCUUGAGUUCGGGAGAGGGAAGCGGAAUUCCGGGUGUAGCGGUGAAAUGCGUAGAUAUCCGGAGGAACACCGGUGGCGAAGGCGGCUUCCUGGACCGACACUGACGCUGAGCGCGAA
RNAcentral lists this ribosomal RNA (233 nucleotides) under uncultured bacterium. RNAcentral's name for it is "partial 16S ribosomal RNA". It matches the Rfam family "Bacterial small subunit ribosomal RNA", at positions 524 to 757 of the family's 1533-position model. The record is from RNAcentral.